This 422-nucleotide ribosomal RNA is filed under the name uncultured bacterium. RNAcentral's name for it is "bacterial SSU rRNA". It matches the Rfam family "Bacterial small subunit ribosomal RNA", at positions 355 to 774 of the family's 1533-position model. The record is from RNAcentral.
UGAGGAAUAUUGGGCAAUGCCCGCAAGGGUGACCCAGCAACGCCGCGUGGAGGAUGAAUGUCGUAAGAUUGUAAACUCCUGUUAGAGGGGAAGAAUAGUACCGGUUGGACCGGUAUAUGACUGUACCCUCAGAGAAAGCCCCGGCUAACUACGUGCCAGCAGCCGCGGUAAUACGUAGGGGGCAAGCGUUGUCCGGAUUUACUGGGUGUAAAGGGCGCGCAGGCGGGAUAAAAAGUCAGUGGUGAGAUCCUACAGCUUAACUGUAGAACUGCCUUUGAUACUUUUAUUCUUGAGUUCGGGAGAGAGAGACGGAAUUCCAGGUGUAGUGGUGAAAUACGUAGAUAUCUGGAAGAACACCAGUUGCGAAGGCGGUCUCUUGGUCCGACACUGACGCUGAGGCGCGAAAGCGUGGGGAGCAAACA